AUUGAACGCUGGCGGCAUGCUUUACACAUGCAAGUCGGACGGCAGCACAGAGAAGCUUGCUUCUUGGGUGGCGAGUGGCGAACGGGUGAGUAAUAUAUCGGAACGUACCGAGUAAUGGGGGAUAACUAAUCGAAAGAUUAGCUAAUACCGCAUAUUCUCUGAGGAGGAAAGCAGGGGACCUUCGGGCCUUGCGUUAUUCGAGCGGCCGAUAUCUGAUUAGCUAGUUGGUGGGGUAAAGGCCUACCAAGGCGACGAUCAGUAGCGGGUCUGAGAGGAUGAUCCGCCACACUGGGACUGAGACACGGCCCAGACUCCUACGGGAGGCAGCAGUGGGGAAUUUUGGACAAUGGGCGCAAGCCUGAUCCAGCCAUGCCGCGUGUCUGAAGAGGGCCUUCGGGUUGUAAGGGACUUUUGUCAGGGAAGAAAAGGCUGUUGCUAAUACCGACAGCUGAUGACGGUACCUGAAGAAUAAGCACCGGCUAACUACGUG
RNAcentral lists this ribosomal RNA (490 nucleotides) under uncultured bacterium. Its description in RNAcentral is "partial 16S ribosomal RNA". It matches the Rfam family "Bacterial small subunit ribosomal RNA", at positions 30 to 507 of the family's 1533-position model. The record is from RNAcentral.